GACGAACGCUGGCGGCGUGCCUAAUACAUGCAAGUUGAGCGAUGAAGAUUGGUGCUUGCCCCAAUUUGAAGAGCAGCGAACGGGUGAGUAACGCGUGGGGAAUCUGCCUUUGAGCGGGGGGCAACAUUUGGAAACGAAUGCUAAUACCGCAUAACAACUUUAAACAUAAGUUUUAAGUUUGAAAGAUGCAAUUGCAUCACUCAAAGAUGAUCCCGCGUUGUAUUAGCUAGUUGGUGAGGUAAAGGCUCACCAAGGCGAUGAUACAUAGCCGACCUGAGAGGGUGAUCGGCCACAUUGGGACUGAGACACGGCCCAAACUCCUACGGGAGGCAGCAGUAGGGAAUCUUCGGCAAUGGACGAAAGUCUGACCGAGCAACGCCGCGUGAGUGAAGAAGGUUUUCGGAUCGUAAAACUCUGUUGGUAGAGAAGAACGUUGGUGAGAGUGGAAAGCUCAUCAAGUGACGGUAACUACCCAGAAAGGGACGGCUAACUACGUG
RNAcentral lists this ribosomal RNA (497 nucleotides) under uncultured bacterium. RNAcentral describes it as "partial 16S ribosomal RNA". It matches the Rfam family "Bacterial small subunit ribosomal RNA", at positions 28 to 507 of the family's 1533-position model. The record is from RNAcentral.